This 505-nucleotide ribosomal RNA is filed under the name uncultured bacterium. RNAcentral's name for it is "partial 16S ribosomal RNA". It matches the Rfam family "Bacterial small subunit ribosomal RNA", at positions 28 to 507 of the family's 1533-position model. The record is from RNAcentral.
GACGAACGCUGGCGGCGUGCCUAAUACAUGCAAGUAGAACGCACAGUUUAUACCGUAGCUUGCUACACCAUAAACUGUGAGUUGCGAACGGGUUAGUAACGCGUAGGUAACCUGCCUGGUAGCGUGGGAUAACUAUUGGAAACGAUAGCUAAUACCUCAUAAUAUUAAUUAUUGCAUGAUAAUUUAUUGAAAGAUGCAAUUGCAUCACUACCAGAUGGACUUGCGUUGUAUUAGCUAGUAGGUGAGGUAACGGCGCACCUAGGCGACGCUACAUUGCCGACCUGAGAGGGUGAUCAGCCACACUGGGACGGCGACACGGCCCAGACUCCUACGGGAGGCAGCCGUAGGGAAUCUUCGGCAAUGGACGGAAGUCUGUCCGAGCAACGCCGCGUGAGUGAGGAAGGUUUUCGGAUCGUAAAGCUCUGUUGUAAGAGAAGAACGGGUGUGAGAGUGGAAAGUUCACACUGUGACGGUAUCUUACCAGAAAGGGACGGCUAACUACGUG